This is a long non-coding RNA of Canis lupus familiaris (dog), 1537 nucleotides long. RefSeq lists it as uncharacterized. Lineage: Eukaryota; Metazoa; Chordata; Mammalia; Carnivora; Canidae. The transcript is spliced from 3 exons. The record is from RefSeq and is a predicted model, not a curated record.
CGAGCGAGCGCGGCUGCGGCUGCGGAGGGGACCUGGCGGGGACCUGGGGACCUGGGCACCUGGGGACCUGGGCGCCCCCGCGGCGGAGGGAGGGGACCGAGAGCCUCUUGAGGCUCGGCCGGAAAGAGGAACAGCCACCAACCUGAAAAAGCCACUUCUGUCGCCAAGGCUGAGCUUCCUGGCUGGUAAAUCAAAAUAAGGAGAGCGGCCACGGCCCCAGCGCGGCGCCCAGCCCCAGGAAGCCCCGCCCGGGCUUAGCUCUUACCAGUCAGGGUCACGCCGCAGAAAGGAAACGAGGGGAGCCCAUGCGGCCCUCUCUAACUGCCACUUCCUUUUCCAAGUUCCCAAGCCACCUGCUAAAUAACCCACUUAUGAAUGUUCCUGGGCACCGACGUCAAUCCCUCUGGUCUGUGGUCUCUAGAAUCUCUUUAAAAGUCUCCGGACACCCCGCGUCUGGCUGCCAGCACACCACCCGGUUUGCCAAGGACCUUCAUAAAAUAAGGCUCCUGAAACUGCACGUGGACCUUCAGGCAAGCUCUGGCAGAGCCGGGCGGCAGCCUGAGGCCCCUGGGGCCCAGCACAGCCUUGCAGCUAGGUCGUGAAUUAGCAGCAGAGGCCAGAGAAGAGGCAGGUCUCCGCCCCACAAGGACAACCGGCUUCCCCUGCAGCACCCUGUGGUCCAGCGUCCUGUAGUCUAGCAGCAUCUGCAUGUCAAUGGAUUUGUCCUGCUCAGAGUCUGUCUCCUGCUCACCCUCCUUAUUCUGAUCACCCUUGCCGAGGGUUGGGAUACCAAGCCACCCCAGCAACCAGGAAUCUUGAUUGACAACACACCAAAAACACCUGGGAUGAGACAGAGCAAUUCCCUCAAAGGACUAGAAAGAACAGGGAAAAUCUGUACAUAUCAUCUAAUUAAAUGAAACUAAUUAUGCUUCAUCUUGGUUGAUACAAUUAAUUGUUAGCGAGUUUUGCUUCAGCCAUUUUCCCUAAUGGAUAAGACUUGGGCUUGAUGGGCUCUUUCCUUUAGGUCUCUUAGCCACCGCAAGUGACAGGUUAUUGCUUCGCUGGGAUGAUGCCUGGCCUGUCGAUGGCAGGUUGUUCAUUCCCAGGAUCUGCUUAUUCACGCCCACGGAUGACUGAGCUCAUGGGUUACGUACGCUCCUGAACUCCCUGCAGGAUGAUCUCCUAACAAUGCUGUCACCCAUAGGUACAGCAUUUCGACUCAAACUGAAAUCCAAGUUUCCGUUUCCUCCAACUUUGGACCUCUCAUCUGUUUUACUGGCUUGUCUUUGGGUGGAGGAGCUCUUGUGGGAGGCACCCUCUUUUAACUGACAGAUGAUUGGAAGGACACGUGCAGACCUCACUUGUGUUUAUCCACUUGUUCUGAGGAGCACUCACCAAAUUCCCUUUUCUAAACUGGACAUCAUUGAGAACAAGAAAACACAUUCCCAACCUUCCAGAAAGUGGGAACUUUUUAAAAUCAGUUUGGGCAAAGAGUAUCUGGGGAGAGAAACCACAAUAAAUACCUGCGUAUAAUUAA